GGGAGCUUCUAGGUGAGUGGGCCUAUCCAAGUUCUGAGGGGGUGACACAGCCCAGGUCCAAGGGGACGGAAGGCCCUGUGCGGGGACCCUGCCAGACCUCGCCUUCCGUAUCUCUCUGUCUGGCUGCUGUCUGUAUCCUAAUAAGCUGUUAAAGGUGUUCCCCUGAGUUCUGGGAGCCACUCUAGCAAAUCAGUGCAACCAGAGCAAGCGGUCAUGGGAACCUCUGAUCUACAGCUGGUGUGUUCAACGCUGGCGACAACCCGGACUCGCCACCGGCAAGGGAACGGGGCUGAGCGCGUCCUGUGGGAUCUGAGGCUCCCUCCAGGGAUAUUAGCACAGGUCUAUAAUCUUCUUCAAAUGCUGGGACAGUGAACUGAGGUCUCACAACAGCUGCAUACGGAAGUUCCAGACCAGGGAUUGAUGUGAGCCAGAGCAGGAGCAAUGCCGGAUCCUUAACCCACUGCCCCCAUCAGGAAUCGAACUGGCCCGGCCACAGAGACAAGCCAGAUCCUCAAGCCACCGCGUCACAGCGGGGACGCCACAUCGCGCCGUUCUCCGUCAUCUCCCUCUCCCGCCACCUGAGGAACGCAGGCGUGAGGUUCUACCUGUGCUUCAGAGAGCGUCAUGGCCCCUGAGGCCUUGGUGCCCUGAGAAGAGCCUCCCUCCUCUACCCACCUGGGGAACAUGGAGUCAGCGUUAAAGAUCCGGUUCCGGUGUCCUCACUCCUGCGAAACCCGCCCUGAGGUUGCUCACGCAGUCCGGGGCGGCUGCGUCUGUGCUCCCAGGGCUCCUGGACACUGAGACCCAUGCACCCUCCUAGAAGAGAGUCAAGUACCACCGCCCCGUCAGUUACAUGGUCCUGCGCCUUCUCUGCCUCACUUCUCAUUGUAUUCUUGGCAUUUAACGCAGAGACUGUCACAUGGUUUGCUGAAAGUCACUAAAUGUUUAUCGAAAGGAGCACUGGCUUAGAUGCUGCAUCUGUGAGCCACGCGCCAAAGGAGGUACACGCACUGUGAGAGGGCCUGCAGGUGCAAGAUGACAAAGUCUAACCGCACGCCCCGCACAGCAGCACUCAGGCACCCAGCCCUGCCUGCACACAACCUGUGUUAACCCUUCCACCCCCACAGGUUCUCCUUGUUCGCAGGCAGAUUCCAGAUACUGCAAAGUCAUCUUUAACCUGGUACCUGUCUUUCCCCUCUCAGACCUUAAUUUCCCUCCAGGAGCCCAUGAAGCUAAUACUCAUGUGUCUUUUUAAAACUUGAAUCACUUCCAAAGUUUUCAGGGCUUACUUUUCAAAGGACUUGCUGGUAGAGCUGCAACUCACUGUGCAUUUCUCAUAGUUUGUCUUAAAUUGUAUUGCAACUUCUUGAAUGUGAUAGAUGACCAGAUUUUGUUUCAAAAUUCAUAUAAGAGGUAUCUUAUAGAAUUCAUCAACAAAAAUAACACCAACAUAAAAGCUUUUAUUUAUUCAGCACUUCCUUCAGGGCCAGACACAGAUUCUCCUCUAUGUCCCUCCUGUACUUAACUCAUUUAAGUGCAAAACUAAUUCCAGUGAGAGCAAAUACUUUCUUACCCUCCUUUCGAGAUGUAUUUUGAUUCAGUAAGUGUACCCCCAUCUUGGCUCUGGGAUUUACCAGAAGGAUAAUAUGUAUGUUGUGUACGUUUAUUUUUCGGAUACAUCACAAAA
RNAcentral lists this long non-coding RNA (1687 nucleotides) under Sus scrofa (pig). RNAcentral's name for it is "lncRNA (ENSSSCG00025062677.1, ENSSSCG00045018940.1, ENSSSCG00160032972.1)". The record is from RNAcentral. Lineage: Eukaryota; Metazoa; Chordata; Mammalia; Artiodactyla; Suidae.